UGUUUUAUCCGAAGCUAGUCACGGCCUCUAUUAUAGGCUUAGGCAUUUGUGUUAAAAUGUUAAUUUUUAUUUUCUUGGACCCUGAUGGAGACAAAAACCAUGUUUAUAGUACUUCUGACUUGCUUCCUCAUCGUUUAGUUAUGUGGAGUUAGAGGUGGUGGGAAUGCUGCAGCUCAAGCAUCAUUUUGGCAAGCAAAAGUAGGGCUUUCUUUUAUAUUGGCAUUCGAGUCAGAGAGGGAAAGGAAUGCAGCCAUCAUGCUUGCCAGGAGGUUUGCAUUUGAUUGCAAUAUCAUGCUUGCCGGACCAGAUGACAGAGCUCCUCCAGAAACAUGACAAAUCUAUGCUCUACUCUCCUC
This is a non-coding RNA of Camellia sinensis, 356 nucleotides long. The record is from RefSeq and is a predicted model, not a curated record. NCBI's taxonomy places the organism in Eukaryota, Viridiplantae, Streptophyta, Magnoliopsida, Ericales, Theaceae.